This 569-nucleotide ribosomal RNA is filed under the name uncultured Gammaproteobacteria bacterium. Its description in RNAcentral is "bacterial SSU rRNA". It matches the Rfam family "Bacterial small subunit ribosomal RNA", at positions 812 to 1381 of the family's 1533-position model. Lineage: Bacteria; Pseudomonadati; Pseudomonadota; Gammaproteobacteria. The record is from RNAcentral.
UCGAUUUGGAGUUUGUUGCCUAGAGUGAUGGGCUCCGAAGCUAACGCGAUAAAUCGACCGCCUGGGGAGUACGGCCGCAAGGUUAAAACUCAAAUGAAUUGACGGGGGCCCGCACAAGCGGUGGAGCAUGUGGUUUAAUUCGAUGCAACGCGAAGAACCUUACCUGGUCUUGACAUCCACAGAAUCUUGCAGAGAUGUGAGAGUGCCUUCGGGAAUUGUGAGACAGGUGCUGCAUGGCUGUCGUCAGCUCGUGUUGUGAAAUGUUGGGUUAAGUCCCGCAACGAGCGCAACCCUUAUCCUUUGUUGCCAUCGGUUAGGCCGGGAACUCAAAGGAGACUGCCGUUGAUAAAGCGGAGGAAGGUGGGGACGACGUCAAGUCAUCAUGGCCCUUACGACCAGGGCUACACACGUGCUACAAUGGCGUAUACAAAGGGAGGCGACCUCGCGAGACCAAGCGGACCUCAUAAAGUACGUCUAAGUCCGGAUUGGAGUCUGCAACUCGACUCCAUGAAGUCGGAAUCGCUAGUAAUCGGGAAUCAGAAUGUCACGGUGAAUACGUUCCCGGGCCU